RNAcentral lists this ribosomal RNA (403 nucleotides) under Bacteroidota bacterium. RNAcentral describes it as "Bacteroidetes bacterium partial 16S ribosomal RNA". It matches the Rfam family "Bacterial small subunit ribosomal RNA", at positions 355 to 776 of the family's 1533-position model. Lineage: Bacteria; Pseudomonadati; Bacteroidota. The record is from RNAcentral.
UGGGGAAUAUUGCACAAUGGGGGAAACCCUGAUGCAGCGACGCCGCGUGAACGAAGAAGGUAUUCGUAUCGUAAAGUUCUGUCCUAUGGGAAGAAAAUGACAGUACCAUAGGAAUAAGGACCGGCUAAUUACGUGCCAGCAGCCGCGGUAAUACGUAAGGUCCGAGCGUUGUCCGGAAUCAUUGGGCGUAAAGGGUACGUAGGCGGGUAAGCAAGUUAGAAGUGAAAUCCUGUAGCUCAACUACAGUAAGCUUUUAAAACUGCUCAUCUUGAGAUAUGGAAGGGAAAGUGGAAUUCCUAGUGUAGCGGUGAAAUGCGCAGAUAUUAGGAGGAAUACCGGUGGCGAAGGCGACUUUCUGGCCAUAAUCUGACGCUGAGGUACGAAAGCGUGGGUAGCAAACAGG